AUGAUUCGUGCUUUGAUUACAUCUCAACAUCCAAAAAUAAACUUGACUACUCUCUAUACUUUUCUAUGGUGUCUUUGGAAAGCUCGGAACGACUGUCUAUUUUGCAGCAAAUUAUGCAAGCCUUCCCAGGUGUAUCCUUCAGCAAAUGCAAUAAUUGAAGCAACCAAUUUAGAAGAUAAGAACUCCGCUCAGCAACAAGAAAGCGAUAAAGCUCAGGAGCAGUUGCAGGCUUCUACAACAACCACGCAUACACAUGACUGUAAUAACCUUACAGGGAAUAUCAUCUUUUGCGACGCAGCCUGGGAGAGACGCACAGAUUCAGAGCUGGGCCAUGCUGGCUUAGGAGUAAUCAUCACCAUGCAAGACAAUCGGCACCUCCAACGACUACACGUCUCUGCGCUUUCGCCUCCAGUUUCAUCACCCCUCCAGGCUGAGGCUUAUGGGCUGCUACUAGCUACUAAGUUAGCUGCAGGUUCAGAACCCUCACUUUUGCACCGACUGCUCGGUGUUAGUUUCGGCGGCAAGGUCAUCAACGGUAUUUGCUGCUCCAGGAUGUUGGGAGAACAGACCUCUCCUUGCAGAGAUCCAAGCCUCUCCAUCUUUUAG
RNAcentral lists this ribosomal RNA (606 nucleotides) under Triticum aestivum (bread wheat). RNAcentral's name for it is "partial small subunit ribosomal RNA". Lineage: Eukaryota; Viridiplantae; Streptophyta; Magnoliopsida; Poales; Poaceae. The record is from RNAcentral.